Molecule: long non-coding RNA, 290 nt
Organism: Sphaerodactylus townsendi
Lineage: Eukaryota; Metazoa; Chordata; Lepidosauria; Squamata; Sphaerodactylidae
Exons: 2
Source: RefSeq, a predicted model, not a curated record
GAAAAAGGAGAGGGGAGCAACACAGUUUUUGAAGCAGAAGUAGCAGAAGGACGGAGGGAGGCACAGAACCUGCAUCCUGAUCUUAUGGUUGCAAGAUGGAUAAGAAGUAUGGAGGGAAGUAAAAAAACGGAAGGAAGUUUCCCUGAAAGUUGCAAUCUACACAUCAAAGAGGUAACAUCAGAGCUGUAAAGAAAGGAUGUCUGGGCCUUGAUCCUUCUAUCUCUCUGGCUUUCUCAUCAAGUCCCUCUUUGAAGUUAAGAGACAACAUGAAGUCCUUCACUUCUAACAGG